This 316-nucleotide ribosomal RNA is filed under the name uncultured eukaryote. RNAcentral describes it as "partial large subunit ribosomal RNA". It matches the Rfam family "Eukaryotic large subunit ribosomal RNA", at positions 40 to 350 of the family's 3401-position model. The record is from RNAcentral.
AUAUUAUUAAGCGGAGGAAAAGAAACUAACAAGGAUUCCCUCAGUAACGGCGAGUGAAGCGGGAAUAGCUCAAAGUGAAAAACGGAAACCAUUCAGGUUUUCGAGUUGUAAACUAAAGACGUGUUAUCAGCGUGUGACUCGAGUAUAACUCUUUUGGAACAAGGGAUCAUAGAGGGUGAGAAUCCCGUCCUUGACUCGAAGCUCACCGCGUACGAUGCACGUUCAAAGAGUCGCGUUGUUUGGGAUUGCAGCGCUAAAUGGGUGGUAAACUUCAUCUAAAGCUAAAUAUUGGCGGGAGACCGAUAGCGCACAAGUA